CUGAUUUCCUUUAGUGCUUCACGUGGCAUGUACGUGAGAUUUCCCCUGUCUCUAUUCUUUCUGUGUCUUCCCUCUAGAUCUAAUGUAGGUGAGAUUGCAAAUUGAUCAUCUAUACUAUAGACGAUUUUAAUUUGUCAACAUCACUUGAUCUGUAGUGUGAUGUGCAGGCUCCAGCUAGAUUCAUAUACUUUGCCUCGGUUCCUAUUAUUCUCGUUUGUGCCCUCCACAUAUGUGUUGCCUAGUGAUUGAAAAAUGCAAAUUAAUAUUUGCUUCUGGAUCCUAGUUAGAUAGGGCUAAAUCUCUGGAUCUGUAGUGUGCCCUGCAGUUGCAACUAGCUGCAUAUAACAUUUUUCCCUACCUAAAUGACUCGUACUUGAGUGGCUUAGCUUAUGCAUAUUGAGGUGGACACACACACAUACACGGUUAUCAUCAGUUUUAUACUAGCUUUGCUGAUGCUACAUUUUCUUCAGUUGAGAUGAACUAAGUACUUUUCAGUAAUUCAUGUUCAGUUUUAUUUAUGCAUCUAAAUAGUUCAUACACUUCAGAAUGGUUUGUUCUUGUAUUCAAGUGGAAGUUAGGGAACGUUUGAACUUUGAUUUCCUUUUGAGUUAUGUCUCUACUUCAUCUUAUCAAUUAACAAUGUUUUUGGAUAUCAUGUAUGGUUUAUCUAAUUACUCUUCCCACGGUCACCACAGUAGAAAAACUAAAAUUUGCUUAUGCUAUGUAUCAACCUUAUCAUGGCACAUGAUCCUACUUGGAGGGCUAACUCCAACAACCUAGCUUUGUAGUAUGCUUCCUGGCCAGAUUUUAAAAGGAAGGAUCUUGUCAUGUGUAUGUUGUGUAUUCAGAAAGUCCAUGCUGGAGUAGGAAGGUUGGUGCGGCACCUUACUGGAGGUUCAAGUGAUGUGAAGAAGUCUCCCGAGUCAACCGCGGAAAUUCAGAAGACAUGCGUAGCUACUUAUUAGAUAGAAAAAAGUUUAAAGUCAUAGAUUGAGAUAUAGAUGAGAAAAAGUUACAUCAAAAUUUUCUAAUUAAGAUCAGGCUAGAGAUGACUUGAGAAGGGGCUUCUGGAUUUUACUUUUAAUGAUGCUCAUGCUAAUUUUACUCUCGCAGGUACAUGCAGACCUCAAAUACUGGUGUGGAUUUGGGUACAUGACAACAUAUGUGUGCUUCUAACCAAUUUGUGUAAGCUGCUAAAACUCAUCCCAGUCAUCCAUCGAAGAACGGAAAUAUAUGAGUGAAGUAGAUUGGAGUGAAGAUCACAUGGAGCACACAUGUCUUAAAGCUUUGCAUAGACCAUGAAAAAAGAAUUAUUAUGGAUAUCAAGUUUUUAUUCAUUUAGUUAGAUUUCUUACCUCUACAAGACCCUGAAAAAAAGAAUUAUUAUGUAUAUUAAUUUUUUAUUCACCUAGUUAGAUUUCUUAUGUCUAGAACGUGUAAUAUGUAUUUUCAGAUACUAAAUGGAUUUUGUUGAAAUAGAGUAUCGCCACCAAGUGUUCAAAUUGUCGCAA
Molecule: non-coding RNA, 1511 nt
Organism: Lolium perenne
Lineage: Eukaryota; Viridiplantae; Streptophyta; Magnoliopsida; Poales; Poaceae
Source: RefSeq, a predicted model, not a curated record